RNAcentral lists this long non-coding RNA (970 nucleotides) under Brassica rapa (field mustard). RNAcentral's name for it is "long non-coding RNA (BRAP_LNC008885)". The record is from RNAcentral. Lineage: Eukaryota; Viridiplantae; Streptophyta; Magnoliopsida; Brassicales; Brassicaceae.
CAUGAUCUCAAUCAUUUGGCUAGGUAAGCAAUAAUCUAAUAUGAAUGAAAAGAAGGAUUCAAAUAUUAUUAUUUUAAGGUGGUUAUCACUCAAGAACAAGGAACUUGAUCAUUAUGCAAAAUUUAUCUAAGAUUAGAAGCAACUCAUGCAUACAUAGAUUUAUUCUCAUCAUUCUAUCCUUUUCCUAAGUGAUUACAAGUUCUACCCUUUUAUCAUCAUCUCAAAACCAAAAUAAAACCCACUCACAUCACUCACCCAAUGAACAACUCUCUUUUUCUUUUGACUCAACCAACUAGGGACUUUAAUUCAUUUUCUUUACAACACUUAGCUCUAACUCUUUCUCAUCUCCUUCCCCACCUUCUCUUUGAUUCUUUUUCUCUUUUUUUUUUCUUUUUUUUUUUUAGGGGGGAGGUUCUUUUGUACAUAAUCUAGAGCUUCAUACUUUCCUUUUUGUCCCUAGAGUUUUCUUUUCUAUUGACACUCUUUUGUUCAUCUCUCUCAUUUUUCUCACUUUCCAAACCCAAGAUAUUAAAAUUUAGAUCACACAAACCCCUCUCACCAUCCCUAAGUGCUAGCUCAUUAUGCUAGUAAGAGAUGAGAAUAAACAUAUGUCGCCUCCAAUACUCUCAAGAUUUUGCACAUGACAAGCUAUCAAAAGAGGCCUCACUCAUGCAAUUUAAUGUUUGGUCUCAAAGAAUGGCUAGGGUUGUAGGGUAUGGAAUGCCAUUUGGGUUAACAAAGAUUGAUAUAAAGGAAUAAGAUAACCCAAAUGUGUAUGAGAUCCAUGAUCAAGUAUGCAAAUGCCCAUAUGCAAGAGAUAUUAAGUUCAUUCAAGCCAAGUUAAGAUUGGAGCUGAUCUUAAGAACAAUGCCAACAUCAAGCAAGCAAACAAGUUUCAAGAAGAGUUUUCAAGGCUCGAAGCUUACAAGCUUUUUCAAAAGAUGCUUAAGCUACUUGAUAUGUUUAGCUA